GUGCCCAGAUGGGAUUAGCUAGUAGGUGGGGUAACGGGCUCACCUAGGCGACGAUCCCUAGCUGGUCUGAGAGGAUGACCAGCCACACUGGAACUGAGACACGGUCCAGACUCCUACGGGAGGCAGCAUG
This 130-nucleotide ribosomal RNA is filed under the name uncultured bacterium. RNAcentral describes it as "partial 16S ribosomal RNA". It matches the Rfam family "Bacterial small subunit ribosomal RNA", at positions 227 to 353 of the family's 1533-position model. The record is from RNAcentral.